Molecule: non-coding RNA, 83 nt
Organism: Cytidiella melzeri
Lineage: Eukaryota; Fungi; Basidiomycota; Agaricomycetes; Polyporales; Irpicaceae
Source: the annotation of a GenBank genome assembly
GGUUCAGUGGUGUAGUUGGUUAUCACGUCUGUCUCACAAGUAUUGUGCACAGGAGGUCCCCAGUUCGAACCUGGGUUGAACCA